CCUACGGGAGGCAGCAGUGAGGAAUAUUGGUCAAUGGGCGCGAGCCUGAACCAGCCAAGUCGCGUGAGGGAAGACGGUCCUAUGGAUUGUAAACCUCUUUUGUCGGGGAGCAAAAGACGCCACGCGUGGCGUUCCGAGAGUACCCGAAGAAAAAGCAUCGGCUAACUCCGUGCCAGCAGCCGCGGUAAUACGGAGGAUGCGAGCGUUAUCCGGAUUUAUUGGGUUUAAGGGGUGCGCAGGCGGAAGAUCAAGUCAGCGGGAAAAUUGAGAGGCUCAACCUCUUCGAGCCGUUGAAACUGGUUUUCUUGAGUGAGCGAGAAGUAUGCGGAAUGCAGGGUGUAGCGGUGAAAUGCAUAGAUAUCACGCAGAACUCCGAUUGCGAAGGCAGCAUACCGGCGCUCAACUGACGCUCAUGCACGAAAGUGUGGGUAUCGAACAGGAUUAGAUACCCGGGUAGUC
This 459-nucleotide ribosomal RNA is filed under the name uncultured bacterium. RNAcentral's name for it is "partial 16S ribosomal RNA". It matches the Rfam family "Bacterial small subunit ribosomal RNA", at positions 338 to 795 of the family's 1533-position model. The record is from RNAcentral.